UACCGCGGUUAUACGAGAGGCCCAAGCUGACAAAACACGGCGUAAAGCGUGGUUAAAGAGAGAUCAAUACUAAAGCCGAACACCCUCAUGGCAGUUAUACGCAUCCGAAGGUUAGAAGCCCAACUACGAAAGUGGCUUUAUCCCCCUUGAACCCACGAGAGCUAAGGCA
RNAcentral lists this ribosomal RNA (169 nucleotides) under Pterygotrigla macrorhynchus (longnose gurnard). RNAcentral describes it as "partial 12S rRNA". Lineage: Eukaryota; Metazoa; Chordata; Actinopteri; Perciformes; Triglidae. The record is from RNAcentral.